AGAGUUUGAUCAUGGCUCAGAUUGAACGCUGGCGGCACGCCUAACACAUGCAAGUCGAGCGGUAACGGAGCCUGUAGCGAUACGGGCUGCUGACGAGCGGCGGACGGGUGAGGAACACGUAGGAAUUUACCCUCAAGCGGGGGACAACCAAGGGAAACUUUGGCUAAUACCGCAUAGACUCGAGAGAGGAAAGCUGCCUU
This 200-nucleotide ribosomal RNA is filed under the name uncultured bacterium. RNAcentral's name for it is "partial 16S ribosomal RNA". It matches the Rfam family "Bacterial small subunit ribosomal RNA", at positions 8 to 213 of the family's 1533-position model. The record is from RNAcentral.